Molecule: ribosomal RNA, 332 nt
Filed under: uncultured bacterium
Lineage: Bacteria
Description: bacterial SSU rRNA
Rfam family: Bacterial small subunit ribosomal RNA
Source: RNAcentral
CGUGUAGGCGGGAAUGCAAGUCAGAUGUGAAAUACCGUAGCUUAACUACGGGGCUGCAUCUGAAACUGUGUUUCUUGAGUGUCGGAGAGGAAAGUGGAAUUCCCAGUGUAGCGGUGAAAUGCGUAGAUAUUGGGAGGAACACCAGUGGCGAAGGCGACUUUCUGGACGAUAACUGACGCUGAGGCGCGAAAGCGUGGGGAGCAAACAGGAUUAGAUACCCUGGUAGUCCACGCUGUAAACGAUGGAUACUAGGUGUAGGAGGUAUCGACCCCUUCUGUGCCGGAGUUAACACAAUAAGUAUCCCACCUGGGGAGUACGGCCGCAAGGUUGAA